RNAcentral lists this ribosomal RNA (207 nucleotides) under Bacteroides caecigallinarum. RNAcentral's name for it is "partial 23S ribosomal RNA". It matches the Rfam family "Bacterial large subunit ribosomal RNA", at positions 767 to 972 of the family's 2925-position model. Lineage: Bacteria; Pseudomonadati; Bacteroidota; Bacteroidia; Bacteroidales; Bacteroidaceae. The record is from RNAcentral.
UGGAGGUCCGCACCAAUAAGCGUUGAAAAGCUUCUGGAUGAGCUGAGGGUAGGGGUGAAAGGCUAAUCAAACUUGGAGAUAGCUCGUACUCCCCGAAAUGCAUUUAGGUGCAGCCUCGAGGAUUACUGAUGUGAGGUAGAGCGACUGAUUGGAUGCGAGGGCUUCACCGCCUAUCAAGUCCUGACAAACUCCGAAUGCGCAUCAGUU